This is a long non-coding RNA of Amblyraja radiata (thorny skate), 223 nucleotides long. RefSeq lists it as uncharacterized. Lineage: Eukaryota; Metazoa; Chordata; Chondrichthyes; Rajiformes; Rajidae. The transcript is spliced from 3 exons. The record is from RefSeq and is a predicted model, not a curated record.
CGGGUGCUCCAGAUAGUUAAGCAUGCACAGCUUAUCUUCGAUUCUGACAUCAGGGAAUGAUGGAGACUCUUUGAAAUUGACUACGAACACUACAUCAACAUUGUUCACCGAAAUGAACCAGCUGCUGUCAAGGCUUCCCUCCUACUUAACCUGGUGGGACCCGAAGCCAUGAUGAGAGCGCGGACCUUUGAAUAUGCACCAGCCGUUCACAAUGCCAACGAUC